RNAcentral lists this ribosomal RNA (154 nucleotides) under Zootermopsis nevadensis. RNAcentral describes it as "5.8S ribosomal RNA". It matches the Rfam family "5.8S ribosomal RNA". Rfam says of the family: 5.8S ribosomal RNA (5.8S rRNA) is a component of the large subunit of the eukaryotic ribosome. The record is from Rfam by way of RNAcentral. Lineage: Eukaryota; Metazoa; Arthropoda; Insecta; Blattodea; Termopsidae.
CAGUCACGGUGGUGGAUCACUUGGUUCGUACAUCGAUGAAAACCGCAGCUAGCUGCGAUAUGUUACGCGAAUUGCAGAUACAUUGAGCGUAAAAUCGUUGAAUGCACAUUGUGCCUUCGGUGUCAUAUCCGUUGGCGCGUUUGGUUCAGUGUUG